Molecule: long non-coding RNA, 2524 nt
Organism: Triticum aestivum (bread wheat)
Lineage: Eukaryota; Viridiplantae; Streptophyta; Magnoliopsida; Poales; Poaceae
Exons: 8
Source: RefSeq, a predicted model, not a curated record
AAAGGCCACCUAAACUACCCUGCCCGAAACGACAAAAGGAAAAAGACCCAGAACCCCCGUCCCCCGACCUGAUCCGCUCCCCCAGUGCGCCGCCGCGACCGCCCCUUUCACCAGCGCGCCGUCGCGGCCUCUCCCUACCCCAGCGCGCCGCCGGUGCCUCCCCCAGCACGCCGUCGCGGCCUCCCCUCUCCUCCAGUGCGCAGCCCUGUCCCCACCUUCUCCCUCGGCUCCGGCCGCUGCCCCACACGUUCUCCCUCGGCUCCGGCCGCCGCCCCCACCUUCUCCCUCGCCUCCGGCCGCAGCCCCCACCUUCUCCCUCGGCUCCGGCCGCAGCCCCCACCUUCUCCCUCGGAUCCGGCCACCGCCCCGCACUCCAAUCACAGAUCGAGUCGUCGCCGUUGCCUUACCCUAGAUCGCACCGCCCAAAACCAUCUGUCGCCACCACGGCCACCCGAACGACGUCCUCACGCGCCGCCGCUAUCUCUCCUUGCUCCGCCGCCAGCCAAGCACCUCCUCACCUCCAUUGUUGUUCAGCACUUCCUCCAGUUCAUCCCAUGGCGGCUGCGCUCGUGGCCGAGCUCACUCCAAUCCCUCCACCACGCUACCUCCUUCCGCUGGUGAGGCUUCGUCGCUGCAACGCCCUGGCCAUUCACUGUCGCCAUCCCGGGCCGUUCAAUGAGACAGCGCCAAGUCGUUCGACACCGCAACUCAGGAGUCUGCCUCCUUUGACAGCUCCUGAUCUCCGGAACAACUAUGGCUCCCUGCUGGCACAACUUGCUCUCGACGACCUCCUUUGACAGCUUGCCUCUGAGGCCUACCAGACCCACACGACGACGCUAGCCGUCCACAGCCACCACCACAGGCCGUUCAACCCACCACUCAUGGCCGUUCUCAAAACCAUCCCAAAGUGUAGAUCGUACAUGAGGACAGGGCCGAGGCGGAGGCAGCAAAGAAAGAGCUAAGCGAUCCAGUAGAGUUUAUUGAUUGAAGAGGCAAGGAACAAAAUUUUCGGCCAACUUUUGCUUUGCUGAUAUAAAUCAAGCUCUGUUUUGUUGUUGAACAACAACAUGGUGUGCAUAGUAACAAGAAACACACGAACAUGAUCAGUAGAGAAGUUGGCCAACCCGCAGCCCUUGCUAGAGCAGUUGCCUCCACCCCCAUCCGUGAGUCCAGACCUAGCUAGUGUGAGCAUCAAAAUACAAAGCAUAGUACAUCAGGAAAAAGCCAUCGCCGCCUCCCUGCAGCGCCGCCUCCGUUCAGCGCGCCAGCCCCGCCUCCCCACACAUGGCUUGCGAAGAGUCGGCGGUGCCGCUGAAGACGACGGGGCAGUUCUACUUGUCCGUGAUGACCAGGACGACGUCACUAUCUGUGCUCGGCCAUAGCAUGGGGUUAGGCCGGAAUCCACCCCGUGACAGGUCAACGUCAGGGUCCACUGGGUUCCGUUCCUGAGAGAAGCAUCGCCGGCUGGGAGAGUUCAAUGAUCUGAACUAGGAAAGUUCAACGUGGAAAUUUGCUACAGAUUACAUUACUUGAGAAAUUUUCGUGUGUUUCACGUCAUCGUUGGCCCCAUGUUCGCUGGCAAGACCACGGCGCUACUCCACCGGCACUGGCAGUACGAGUUUCAAAGGCCAGGAAGUUCUACUGUUGGCAUACGCCAACUGAGCAUCGGUCGAAGAAGCCAAGGCACCUCGUGCUAGCUCUAGGCACCGCCAGAGGCCGUAACUGUUCUUCCACCGCUCCUGUGCACUCACCGUUGAGCCUCUCCAUGCACAGCUCUGGCAGCCCAACGUCACAACACAUAGUGGCCGGUGGUCCCUCCUCUCAGCUGCUCUAUGGCUUGCAGAGGCGUGAGAUUGCUAGAAGUUCAACAUGCGAAACCGUGCAUGUCCAUGCUCCUGCACCUCCAGGCAAACUCCAGUGAAGGUGUGACCAGUUUGGCCAUGGAUGAUCAACCAUUUGAGGAAAAUGGUACAGAUAUGUGAGAAAAAGAGAGAGCUUUCAUGGAGAAACAAAGAAGAUGUUGAUGAAUCAUUCAUGUGUCCAAGAGGGAGGUACAUGUUUUCUUUCCUGUACGUAUCUCCCAAACGUACAUUAGCUAGAGUGAGUGUUGGGAGAAAAUAAAUAAGUAUUCAGCCUUGUUUGACAAAGUGCAAGAACAAUGUUCUUUCAUUUGUGUUGAUGUAGUGUCCUUGAUUUUGUCUUGUCUUUUCAUCCUUGUUUGACAGAAUUGAAAGUUAAUCACAGGAAGGUAAGCAUCAGCAAUGAUGCCAGCAGCGGCCAGGAAUAAUGCCUCCAAUGCGCAAGCCCAGGAUGACGAUGCUGAUCACUAGCAGGAAGGACACCUGCAGGUUGAGGAUGAAGUACACAACGCAGGCAAUGAGGACGAACAAAACAUGGAAUCCGUACACAUAGCAGCAACUGCAAGUUCAAAUUUUCUGUGUAUGAUCCAGUUUCAAAAAAAAAAAAAUUCUGUGUAUGAUGAUAUGAUUGCUACUUCUCAAAAGAAAGUGUACAUGAUAGUUCA